RNAcentral lists this long non-coding RNA (649 nucleotides) under Triticum aestivum (bread wheat). Its description in RNAcentral is "long non-coding RNA (TAES_LNC009971)". Lineage: Eukaryota; Viridiplantae; Streptophyta; Magnoliopsida; Poales; Poaceae. The record is from RNAcentral.
UGUCAAAUCAUCUUCUUCCUCAUGCUGAAAACGAGCAAGCUGUGCUCUGACGGCAUCAUCAGAGCAGAGCUGCCAAAAAUCGCCAUCCCUGUGCUGCUCCCUGUCAAAUCUGGGUGUUCGUGAGCUCGGAGACGGUGGCCGCUGUCAGCCAUGGACUCAUCAGAAGGAAGAGGGGAGGGGGAUGUGGGUAGUACCUGGAAAUCCUCGGAGGCGACGCCGAGUCGCGGACGCCGUUGGGGAGCUUGGUGAUGCGGGUGGGGACGACGCCCGGGGGGAGGUCCAGCCCGGGUAGGAGGCGUAGGAGCAAGGUCGAGCACGCCGCGGAGGCCGUAUGGUCGCCGGACAGGCACCGCUCGCCGUAUUGGCUGCUUCCGCCCCUGGACCUCGCGGAGCCCGUGCAGUCGCUGCGCCUCGCCGUAUUGGCUGCUGCUGCACUUUGAUCUCAUGGCGCUCGUGCGGGCGCGGCGCCUCGCCGUAUUGGCCACCUCCCUCGCGGCGCUCGUGCGGGCGCGGCUCCCGCGCUGACCUCGCGGCGCUCGUGAGGCGCCUCGCCGAGGAGGGGGCAGCAGGGCAGCUGCAGUGGAGGAGGGGAUGGAAAGGGGAAAGGGAAUAGGCGGACGACUGGGCUUUCCAGAAAAGGAAAAAAAAC